UUCGGGAUGCCGGCGAGUGGCGAACGGGUGAGUAACACGUGGAGACCUGCCCUGGGGUGGGGGAUAACAGUUGGAAACGACUGCUAAUACCGCAUACGCCUUACGAGGGAAAGAUUUAUUGCCCCAGGAGGGUUCCGCGUCGGAUUAGCUAGUUGGUGGGGUAACGGCCUACCAAGGCGAUGAUCCGUAGCUGGUCUUAGAGGAUGAUCAGCCACACUGGGACUGAGACACGGCCCAGACUCCUACGGGAGGCAGCAGUGGGGAAUAUUGCGCAAUGGAGGCAACUCUGACGCAGCGAUGCCGCGUGGGUGAAUAAGGCCUUAGGGUUGUAAAGCCCUUUCAGUGGGGAAGAUGAUGACGGUACCCACAGAAGAAGCCCCGGCUAACUCCGUGCCAGCAGCCGCGGUAAUACGGAGGGGGCGAGCGUUGUUCGGAAUUAUUGGGCGUAAAGAGCGCGUAGGCGGUUUAUCAAG
This 473-nucleotide ribosomal RNA is filed under the name uncultured Magnetococcus sp. RNAcentral describes it as "bacterial SSU rRNA". It matches the Rfam family "Bacterial small subunit ribosomal RNA", at positions 79 to 587 of the family's 1533-position model. Lineage: Bacteria; Pseudomonadati; Pseudomonadota; Magnetococcia; Magnetococcales; Magnetococcaceae. The record is from RNAcentral.